AACGAACGCUGGCGGCAUGCCUAACACAUGCAAGUCGAACGAGACCUCCGGGUCUUGUGGCGCACGGGUGCGUAACGUGUGGGAACCUGCCCUUAGGUUCGGAAUAACUCCCCGAAAGGGGUGCUAAUACCGGAUAAUGUCUUCGGACCAAAGAUUUAUUGCCUUUGGAUGGGCCCGCGUUGGAUUAGCUAGUUGGUAGGGUAAAAGCCUACCAAGGCGACGAUCCAUAGCUGGUCUGAGAGGAUGAUCAGCCACACUGGGACUGAGACACGGCCCAGACUCCUACGGGAGGCAGGAGUGGGGAAUAUUGGACAAUGGGCGAAGGCCUGAUCCAGCAAUGCCGCGUGAGUGAUGAAGGCCUUAGGGUUGUAAAGCUCUUUUACCCGGGAUGAUAAUGACAGUACCGGGAGAAUAAGCUCCGGCUAACUCCGUG
RNAcentral lists this ribosomal RNA (433 nucleotides) under uncultured bacterium. RNAcentral describes it as "partial 16S ribosomal RNA". It matches the Rfam family "Bacterial small subunit ribosomal RNA", at positions 29 to 507 of the family's 1533-position model. The record is from RNAcentral.